Molecule: ribosomal RNA, 449 nt
Filed under: uncultured bacterium
Lineage: Bacteria
Description: partial 16S ribosomal RNA
Rfam family: Bacterial small subunit ribosomal RNA
Source: RNAcentral
AACGAACGCUGGCGGCAGGCUUAACACAUGCAAGUCGAACGCAUCCUUCGGGGUGAGUGGCAGACGGGUGAGUAACGCGUGGGAACGUGCCCUUCAGUUCGGAAUAACCCAGGGAAACUUGGGCUAAUACCGGAUACGUGCGAGAGCAGAAAGCUUUAUCGCUGAAGGAUCGGGCCGCGUCUGAUUGGGUAGUUGGUGGGGUAAUGGCCCACCAAGGCGACGAUCAGUAGCUGGUCUGAGAGGAUGAUCAGCCACAUUGGGACUGAGACACGGCCCAAACUCCUACGGGAGGCAGCAGUGGGGAAUAUUGGACAAUGGGCGCAAGCCUGAUCCAGCCAUGCCGCGUGAGUGAUGACGGCCUUAGGGUUGUAAAGCUCUUUCGUCCGGGACGAUAAUGACGGUACCGGAAGAAGAAGCCCCGGCUAACUUCGUGCCAGCAGCCGCGGUAA